Esox lucius (northern pike) is the source of this 1639-nucleotide long non-coding RNA. Lineage: Eukaryota; Metazoa; Chordata; Actinopteri; Esociformes; Esocidae. The record is from Ensembl.
GGUUAAUAUACCUGUGGUCUCGUUACUGUGUCCAGGUGCGUGCCUGCUUCUUAACCUACACAGAACGUUGUGUGGUUGCUAUACUGGUCAGAUGGGUGGAUUGGAGGUUUAACACAUAUUGGUCUUUUAAUCCCUCAACAAGCGUUAGGAAGAUUGGCGGCGCCGGACUACUUCACUUGAUUUUCUGUCCAGCAGUCACGGUGAGGUGAGCCGCAGCGCCACCGUUCUGGGGCACCGUCAGUUCCCAUCGCUCACGAAAGCAUCCCGGACUUGGUUGUCUCACGUCUUUAAUCAUGCACACCAGGUCCCUGACAUCUCAUUUGUAUGUGUUUAAAUGUUUCCCCUCUGCGCCCCACAUUCGUUGAUCGUUGUUGUUCAUGUCUCCUUGUGGUGACUUACAUUUUGCUGUAUAACCAGCCCUUUGUUUGAAUUUUUCAUGUGUUAAGGGCUUGGUGUUACUUUAAAGAUUUGACAUUGAAUGCCAUUUCUGCCUGCGCUUGGUUCCUUCACCUUCACCACUCUCACUUGUGACACCAGCAAAUAACAAUCUGAUGAUUAAACUUUAUCUGUGGAAAUGUGAAUGAUAGAGAAAAAUGGUUGUCGUAUUAUCUGCUUGCAAUCUAUUAAAGCAUAAAGGUUUGUUUUUCCUUGCCUCACCUGAUAAGGUUCUCGGGAACUGAAUCAAACAUUACCACCAUACAAAUUAUUCACACUCACUAAAAUACUUAAGAGGUUUCCUCUUUGCCAAGUUCUUACAUAUGCUUCUGUGCAGCAGCUAAGUUUUAAAAGCACAUAUUGAAUGUCUGGUAUUUGGUAACCAAUAUUAGCUAUAAAUCAGUUAGUAUGUGUUCAGAUAGGCAGGCUAGUACCAACCACCCAACUGAUUAUUGAUGCUGCAAUGCAUCUGGUCUUUUCUCUGUAUUUCUUGGGGGAAUUUUAUGUAUAAUUUGGUUGUGUUGACAGAAGAUUACAGGAGUGUUUUUACUGAGACCUGUGAGCUGUUUUAGUAAUGAGGGCGCAGCAGUUUGUGCACCAGACACAGCAGGAACUUUGUAUUCAGUUACGUGUUAACAGCAAUAAUUGUUGACACUUCUAAGGUAGUGGGAUUGUUCCAUCGAAGCAGUCGGGUUACCAUAAAUCAGAAGAUCCGGAGGUUUCGAGGGUGACGUUUGGCAACUCUACCCUUUAGCUCCCUCCACAGAUUUAUGGGAUUAAGGUCUGAAUGAUUCUCCUCUGAAUCAUUCAGAUGUUCAAUGGCAAACUUCAGACGGGCCUGUACAUGUGCGAUGGUCUUGUAGCCCAUUCCAGCCUUGUGUAGGUCUACAAUCUUGUCCCUAACAUCCUUGGACAGCUCUUUGGUCUUGGCCAUGGUGGAGCGUUUGGAAUCUGAUUGCUUCUUUGGACAGGUGUCUUUUAUACAGAUAACAAGCUGAGAUUAGGAACCCUCCUUUUAAGUGUGCUCCUAAUCUCAGCUCGUUUCCUGUAAAGAAGACAACUGGGAGCCAGAAAUCUUUCUGAUUGAGAGGGGAUAAAAUACCUAUUUCACACAUUAAAAUGCAAAUCAAUUUAUAAACAUUUUGACAUGUUUUUCUGGAUUGUUUUGUUGUUAUUCUGUCUCUCACUGUUCAAAUAAACCUAC